RNAcentral lists this long non-coding RNA (592 nucleotides) under Ananas comosus (pineapple). RNAcentral describes it as "long non-coding RNA (ACOM_LNC016642)". Lineage: Eukaryota; Viridiplantae; Streptophyta; Magnoliopsida; Poales; Bromeliaceae. The record is from RNAcentral.
GAAGAAAAGGGUCAAAACCCCUUUUAUAAACAACCCCUCAACACUAUUCAACUUUCAGCUCAGAUACAGAUAUUUUUCGCCUGUCCUUCUGAAUGUCCGUUUGAGCUCAAAUUUGACAGUCAGGCUCGGUUUUACUUAACUUGACGAAAGAAAUUUUAAUCUUUUAGUUUCGACUCUAUUUGGUCACCGAAAGCUCUACCGAACUGUAAUCUCUAGCAGAUAGUAGUCGGAUUUUAUUUUUCACCUUCCGGGUGUCAGAAUGACAUGAAACUUUAAAUCUAGCCUCAUAAAAAUAAUUCUGAUAUAUUCUCUAGUUUUCAUAAUUUUCUGACACUGUGCAUUUUCUGCUAAAAUAUCAGCCCUGUUUCUCACAGAAAAUUUUAAAUUUUUUGUUUUAAUUUUGAUUUCAGCACAAGUCACUUCUAACUUAUAUUUUACUUCUCUAAAUCCAAUAAAAAUAGCAUCUCACACUAUUUUUAUUUAUUUUUACUUUUAUAUCAAAUUCGGUAUGUUACACGGGUUACGAGGCGGGGCGGAUCAUGGGAUGUAUUUUUUAACCCAUCACGGAUUCGGGACGGGAGGCGGGGCGGGA